RNAcentral lists this transfer RNA (75 nucleotides) under Actinocatenispora rupis. RNAcentral describes it as "tRNA-Leu". It matches the Rfam family "tRNA". Rfam says of the family: Transfer RNA (tRNA) molecules are approximately 80 nucleotides in length. Their secondary structure includes four short double-helical elements and three loops (D, anti-codon, and T loops). The record is from RNAcentral. Lineage: Bacteria; Bacillati; Actinomycetota; Actinomycetes; Micromonosporales; Micromonosporaceae.
GCCCGGCUGGCCCAACUGGCAGAGGCGCCACGCUCAGACCGUGGAGGUUCGGGGUUCGAAUCCCUGGCCGGGUAC